ACUCCUACGGGAGGCAGCCGCAAGGAAUAUUGCACAAUGGGGGAAACCCUGAUGCAGCAACGCCGCGUGGGCGACGAAGGCCUUCGGGUUGUAAAGCCCUUUUCUUAGGGAAGAGCAAGGACGGUACCUGAGGAAUAAGUCUCGGCUAACUACGUGCCAGCAGCCGCGGUAAAACGUAGGAGACGAGCGUUAUCCGGAUUUACUGGGCGUAAAGGGCAAGUAGGCGGUUAUCAAAGUUGGACGUGACAAAUCUCGGCUCAACUGAGAAGGGUCGUCCAAAACUAGGUAACUAGAGGGCAGGAGAGGGGAGCGGAAUUCCUAGUGUAGCGGUGGAAUGCUUAGAGAUUAGGAAGAACACCAGUGGCGAAGGCGGCUCUCUGGCCUGCACCUGACGCUGAGAGGCGAAAGCUAGGGGAGCAAACGGGCUUAGAUACCCCGGUAGUCCUAGCUGUAAACGUUGGAUACUGGGUAUUGGGGGCAUAGAAUCCUUCAGUGCCGAAGCAAACGCGUUAA
Molecule: ribosomal RNA, 513 nt
Filed under: uncultured bacterium
Lineage: Bacteria
Description: bacterial SSU rRNA
Rfam family: Bacterial small subunit ribosomal RNA
Source: RNAcentral